RNAcentral lists this ribosomal RNA (503 nucleotides) under uncultured bacterium. RNAcentral describes it as "partial 16S ribosomal RNA". It matches the Rfam family "Bacterial small subunit ribosomal RNA", at positions 30 to 523 of the family's 1533-position model. The record is from RNAcentral.
AUUGAACGCUGGCGGCAGGCUUAACACAUGCAAGUCGAGCGGGGUGAUGGUGCUUGCACUAUCACUUAGCGGCGGACGGGUGAGUAAUGCUUAGGAAUCUGCCUAUUAGUGGGGGACAGCAUCUCGAAAGGGAUGCUAAUACCGCAUACGUCCUACGGGAGAAAGCAGGGGAGCACUUGUGACCUUGCGCUAAUAGACGAGCCUAAGUCGGAUUUGCUAGUUGGUGGGGUAAAGGCCUACCCAGGCGACGAUAUGUAGCGGGUCUGAGAGGAUGAUCCGCCACACUGGGACUGGGACACGGCCCAGACUCCUACGGGAGGCAGCAGUGGGGAAUAUUGGACAAUGGGGGGAACCCUGAUCCAGCCAUGCCGCGUGUGUGAAGAAGGCCUUAUGGCUGUAAAGCACUUUAAGCGAGGAGGAGGCUCUUUUGGUUAAUACCCAAGAUGAGUGGACGUUACUCGCAGAAUAAGCACCGGCUAACUCUGUGCCAGCCGCCGCGGUAA